Molecule: long non-coding RNA, 1063 nt
Filed under: Heterocephalus glaber (naked mole-rat)
Lineage: Eukaryota; Metazoa; Chordata; Mammalia; Rodentia; Bathyergidae
Description: lncRNA (ENSHGLG00100037417.1)
Source: RNAcentral
CUUGUGAGAUGCAAGACUGCCAGCAGGGUUGGGGCCAGUGGGUUCACCAAGUCAGGCAGCCUGUAAGAGAGGACCGGCUGUGAAGAACCAGGAGGGAGCGGGAGGGAGAGCAGAGCAGUUGUUAACAGCUUCCCUGGUAUGACCAGCUGGAUUCGGAGAAGCACAACAAAGUUGUAAAGUUCAGCAAAGAAGAUCUGAGGGCUUCACACAGGGACUUCACAUCAGAACUCUUCCAAACAACUGUUUUCUUGGACAUUUCCCAGAGCUUGAAAAAAAGGAAGAAGCAACAGCAGCCUAAGAUGGAUGUGGAGGUGCAUGGGGUUUGGGGGACCCCAAUGGAUGAGGACAUGAUGCUAGGAAGCAGGCUUUUGACAUAUAUUGACCCUCAAGCUCUGGAGUGAGGAAUGCAUGCUUGCAAGGGGGAAAAUAUAUUUCUUCUUAUCCUAUCAAAACACAAAACCACCAGCUGUAAAAAGAGGAGAGUCCACACGGAAGGUAGUACUGUCCCUGGUCACUACCCAAGACAAAUAUGAAACAUCACAUGAGGAAGAAGUGAUUUCUUUGCGCCAGAACUUCAAGAUAAAACAUCAAAGCAUUAAAACCACAGGACCUAGACAACCUGGAGGAAACAGAAGGCAGAGAUGUACCGGGGUGAUUAUAAUCAAAUGAGCAAAGCCUUUGGCUUGAAGUUCCCUGAUACAGCUCCAAAAUAGCAGAUAAGCACCUUUUAAAGGAACAAGGAAGUAUCAAGGAAAUACAUUUCCUGACCUGGAAAAUGGAGAAGAGGGCAUUGUGCAACACUGCACAAGGAAAUAACACAUUGAACAAGGCAUCAGGAUAUUCCACUUGAAUUAAAAUAGAGCUCAGAGUUUGCCUUGGGAUUUUUUUCAAUUUGGUGUUCCUGGAACUGAAUGGCUUUGGCAUUUGUGUUAACAACUUAUUUGCUACCUCUGUGGUUAAGUGGGCUUCAGAGUGAGACUUUCUGGAAUGCAAAUCUGCCUGGGAACACUUGAAUGACCACAGGCAAGUUCUUGAGCUUCUCCAGGCCUCUGUGCAUAUGGAC